This is a long non-coding RNA of Cyprinus carpio (common carp), 1906 nucleotides long. RefSeq lists it as uncharacterized. The record is from RefSeq and is a predicted model, not a curated record. The transcript has 3 exons. Lineage: Eukaryota; Metazoa; Chordata; Actinopteri; Cypriniformes; Cyprinidae.
AGGAGGCAGCAAGUCUGAGGUGCAAGUCCAUGGACUGCUAAUGAGACUAGAUCUACGGUUUGUGGUGUGCUAAACCUGGCUUCUUUAAUACUAUAUCAAAGGCCCAAUCAAAGGGAUAAUUUCCUCCAGCAGCCUGUCUCUGAGCAUCACUGCACCAACUAAUGGCUGAAAUACCAAGCAAUAUGGAUUAGCACUGUAUCUCAUUUUUGCAGUGUUGUCUAUACACUUGGGUCAUCUGGAAUGACUCAUUGCUCUCUAAUGGCAGUCUGUAUACAGAGCAGAUGAGCGGAGACGUUGUCCUUUAACUGCUAAGAUAAUGAAGUACUGUGGGAUCUGACUUCCGGGCCGGCCAGGGCAGAUUGGAGUAAGUCCGGCCCAGCGCAGGGAACUGCAGUGUGGGGCAGGGCGCCAUGGCAGGUGCCUGUGUCAGCAGUACUGCCGGCCAAGGGGAGAGGUCAAUCUCACACCUCCAGCAGGUGGGACACAGACUUGCAUUAAUGAUGCUUACAGUGAGAUAGCUGCAGUGUCAGGGGGAGAGGAGAGCAUCGAGCCAGGUGUCUCCUCCAGCUCUGAGAUUUACACAGGAACACAACAAAGGUAACAGGCUUCUAAAUUUGGAAUUCAUGCUUGAUGAAGUUGUUGGGUCAGUGAAGAACUGCAUUUGUGGUUAUCGCUUUUUUGGAAAAACAUUUGGUUAUUCUCAUAUAAUAGCCUAUUGCUUUAUCUAAAACCCAAAUACUUGCAUAAUGCAUUUAUACAAUUAAAAAUACUACAGAAAUAUAUAUAUUUUUUUUGAUUGAGGCAUGUGUAGGUUUGGCAUGUUUGUGCCUACUGGCAUUUUUAAGGACCUCCGCUUUAACAAUAAAAUGCACAUGAUAACUUUUGUUCACCAGCUAAUUACUCUUCAACAGUGAUGCUAUAUAGUUAGUGAGAAAAUGGUUCAAAGUCAAAAUUCAAAAGAUGGUUUGUUUCUCUGAUGCAUAAGGUCUAUAGAAUCUGCAAUUUAUCAGUUGCUGGUCAAAAUUUUUGAAGUUGGCUUGAAGAGGAAAUUCGAAAUCCAAAUUAUUGGUCUUAUUGUGAAUAAUUCAUCUAUGCAUGCAUAUUUUGACUUUUCAUAUUUUUUGUAACUUGUAACUUACCUUCCAGUGAAACAACAAGGACUUCUCUCUGGUGAAGUAUACUGUAAUUCUUCAGUCAUUAAAUCCACUUAAUUUACUGCCCCAAUCUUACAAAUCACCACAAAACUCACUUUCAGAUCUGCCUCCUCCUAAUCGAAAAACGAUGGACAAAAUCAAGUCCCUAUCCUAUAUUUUUUGUACUUUUUCCGAUAAUCCGUUUCACUCUGAAGUACGUCACAAUAUGAAAGAAAGAUCUGACACUACUUUAGUUGCAUUAUGUCUUUAAUGUCCAUGCUGUAAGUGUGUGAUGUAAAUGUGGCCAAUGCAUUUACAUAUUGGGUCAAGAAAGCUUCUUAAUGACACUGAGCUAUCUUGAUAUGAGGUGACUUAACUGGACAUAAAAUUGUUCUGCCUCAUUCUGCACUCUUAUGUCAUACAUCUGAAUCAGGAGCUCCUUACCUCAUCUUCCUCCAUACCUCUUUGUCCUUCUCCUCUUGUCCAUGCGAUAAUGGAUGAAUGAAAGGAGGAAGGAUCUAUUCUGGAUAUUUCACGCCCCCGUCAGCUCUUCACCACAGAUGAUCAGCUGCUGUGUGUGUGUGUGUGUGUGUGCGGUAUAUCAGAGUGUAAUAUAGAUAAUUUGAGCGUGUCCUGGUGCCACAGUGAGUGCACAUUUGUGUCAGUAAUUUGUAAUGAGUCAAUGUAGGAGUGUAGCUUAAAGGUGUAGUUCACUCAAAAAUAAAUAAAUUUACUCACUCUCAUGUUGUUCAGACCUGUAUGUUUUUUUUUUU